CCCUUAGAUGUUCUGGGCCGCACGCGCGCUACACUGACGAUGUCAACGAGUCUCUCCUUGGCCGAAAGGUCUGGGUAAUCUUCUGAAACAUCGUCGUGCUGGGGAUAGAUCAUUGCAAUUUUUGAUCUUGAACGAGGAAUUCCUAGUAAGCGCGAGUCAUCAGCUCGCGUUGAUUACGUCCCUGCCCUUUGUACACACCGCCCGUCGCUACUACCGAUUGAAUGGUUUAGUGAGGACUCCUGAUUGGCGCCGCCGCCCCGGCAACGGAGUAGUGGACUGCCGAAAAGUUGUUCAAACUUGAUCAUUUAGAGGAAGUAAAAGUCGUAACA
This 329-nucleotide ribosomal RNA is filed under the name uncultured eukaryote. RNAcentral's name for it is "partial 18S ribosomal RNA". It matches the Rfam family "Eukaryotic small subunit ribosomal RNA", at positions 1470 to 1796 of the family's 1831-position model. The record is from RNAcentral.